Molecule: long non-coding RNA, 1128 nt
Organism: Prionailurus viverrinus (fishing cat)
Lineage: Eukaryota; Metazoa; Chordata; Mammalia; Carnivora; Felidae
Exons: 9
Source: RefSeq, a predicted model, not a curated record
AACCGUGAGAUCAUGACCUGAGUCAAAGUCAGAUGCUUAACUGACUGAGCCAUCCAGGCUUCUCUGUGCUAUGAAAGUUUCUCAGACUUUCCUAGUUUUUGAUGACCUGGACAAUUUUGAGGGGCAUUCUCAUCUUAUUCUGGAUUUAAGGGAGAAAAAAUCCAUUAUCUUUUCAGAAGAACUUGGCUAGAAAUAGCUAAGGUUCUGCUGAGAAGAGGAUUUAACUGGGAAUGUGCUCUUGGAAUUUCUGAAUUUGAAGAAGUAUGAUUGCUUGAAAGCAUACCAAGUGUUUAAAAGUUUGGAGAUCUAGCAACUGAACCUCCCUUGCUGCAUAGAAAUGGUUGGAAUUCUUCAAUUAGACCCAUUCUCCAUUCAAAUAACGUAGAUGCAUCACAAUAGUGUCUCUACGUGACUACCAGUAUAAAUUUCAUCUUUUCCUCCAGAAAACAUGAUUUGAUUAAUACAGAAUAAGAAGAGUACUGCUCUUUACCCAUUCCCAGGGACUGGUAGAGUGCCAAGCUGCCUAUUUCCCUCGUGAUUGCCGAAGGAUGAAUUUAUCCAUCAGCAGUAGUGCUUUGGACUAACUCAUGAGAUGAUAUGACGCCUGGGCAGCACCAGAAUUGUUAAAAAUGGACUGACAGAAAUGUAUCUGUAGUGACUCUUUUCCUACUUCAGCCUUCAAAGGAACACAGGGCAAAAAUUGCACAAAAGAAACAAACUGCAGCUCUUGAAAUAUAAUACCAGUGGAAAAACAAACAAACAAGCAAAAACCAAAUAAAAUCUCGAGACAAAAACUGGCCUAACCAUGACAACUAGAACUUAAAUAAGAUCUUGCCACACCUUUGCAGCCACCCAUAUCCAGUCUGUAUCCUGGAAAGACUUAUGACUAACCAAAGAGAUGGGAGACCAUGAAAAGAGUCAGUCAUGGAUUGGUAAAGAAACAUUGUCUUUGGGUUGGUGGUAAGGGAAGACAGAAGAAAUGGAGAAAAAAGGUAGAGCAGAAACCUGAGCCACAGCUGGAUUGAGGGCCCGUUCACUGAUAAAACAAGGAUGACUCAGUGAAGACCUGCGUCAGAAUUUCAGUUCAUCUAUGGCAUGAAUGGAUGCUGAAGUAGCUAAUAAUUUUUG